Molecule: long non-coding RNA, 499 nt
Organism: Hemiscyllium ocellatum (epaulette shark)
Lineage: Eukaryota; Metazoa; Chordata; Chondrichthyes; Orectolobiformes; Hemiscylliidae
Exons: 3
Source: RefSeq, a predicted model, not a curated record
CGACAUCGUCCAAUCACCCUACACGUACCGCUGACGUACCACCAAUCAUCUGGAGGUAGCUCCCUCCGUUACCAUGGUCUCCUCUGACUGCUCCUCUCCCAAAUUUCCUGUGAUGGCCCUUUUCAUUGUUUCGUUCAAAUGCCUGCCUUGGAGUCCACCACUUGCAUUCCCCUAACUCAGAUCAGAGCCAAGACUUCACCCAAGAACAAGGCAAAGAGUUGAUCAAUCGCAUGAGUAGUCAAUCAGACUUCCAGGACUCUGAAGUCUUUUUCCCUUUCAAUAUGGACCUCAAUGAAGGCUUUCAAAAGGACAACCCGACCAUUCCAUGCUUGGUCUUUUUACCUCCAGUGGGAUGCAGUCCUACAAUUCCUUGAUCAAGUCAUUUGAUUCCAUGGACCACAUAAGUAACUCUUCGACUCAUACCAUAGACAUUCCAGGCUCAGGUGAAGCCAUCCCUUCUGAUCCUUCUGAAGAUGCUUUUUACCAGCCCCUGUCACCU